RNAcentral lists this ribosomal RNA (468 nucleotides) under uncultured bacterium. RNAcentral's name for it is "partial 16S ribosomal RNA". It matches the Rfam family "Bacterial small subunit ribosomal RNA", at positions 28 to 507 of the family's 1533-position model. The record is from RNAcentral.
GACGAACGCUGGCGGCGUGCUUAACACAUGCAAGUCGAACGGAAAGGCCCUGCUUUUGUGGGGUGCUCGAGUGGCGAACGGGUGAGUAACACGUGAGUAACCUGCCCUUGACUUUGGGAUAACUUCAGGAAACUGGGGCUAAUACCGGAUAGGAGCUCCUGCUGCAUGGUGGGGGUUGGAAAGUUUCGGCGGUUGGGGAUGGACUCGCGGCUUAUCAGCUUGUUGGUGGGGUAGUGGCUUACCAAGGCUUUGACGGGUAGCCGGCCUGAGAGGGUGACCGGCCACAUUGGGACUGAGAUACGGCCCAGACUCCUACGGGAGGCAGCAGUGGGGAAUAUUGCACAAUGGGAGGAAGCCUGAUGCAGCAACGCCGCGUGCGGGAUGACGGCCUUCGGGUUGUAACCCGCUUUCGCCUGUGACGAAGCGUGAGUGACGGUAAUGGGUAAAGAAGCACCGGCUAACUACGUG